UAACGCGUGGGUAACCUGCCUCNCNCUGGGGGAUAACAGUUAGAAAUAGCUGCUAAUACCGCAUAAGCGCACGGUUCCGCAUGGAACAGUGUGAAAAACUCCGGUGGUGUGAGAUGGACCCGCGUCUGAUUAGCCAGUUGGCGGGGUAACGGCCCACCAAAGCGACGAUCAGUAGCCGGCCUGAGAGGGUGAACGGCCACAUUGGGACUGAGACACGGCCCAAACUCCUACGGGAGGCAGCAGUGGGGAAUAUUGCACAAUGGGGGAAACCCUGAUGCAGCGACGCCGCGUGAGUGAAGAAGUAUUUCGGUAUGUAAAGCUCUAUCAGCAGGGAAGAAAGUGACGGUACCUGAAUAAGAAGCCCCGGCUAACUACGUGCCAGCAGCCGCGGUAAUACGUAGGGGGCAAGCGUUAUCCGGAUUUACUGGGUGUAAAGGGAGCGUAGACGGCAAGGCAAGUCUGAAGUGAAAGCCCGGUGCUUAACGCCGGGACUGCUUUGGAAACUGUUUGGCUGGAGUGCCGGAGAGGUAAGCGGAAUUCCUAGUGUAGCGGUGAAAUGCGUAGAUAUUAGGAAGAACACCAGUGGCGAAGGCGGCUUACUGGACGGUAACUGACGUUGAGGCUCGAAAGCGUGGGGAGCAAACAGGAUUAGAUACCCUGGUAGUCCACGCCGUAAACGAUGAUUGCUAGGUGU
This 694-nucleotide ribosomal RNA is filed under the name uncultured bacterium. RNAcentral describes it as "bacterial SSU rRNA". It matches the Rfam family "Bacterial small subunit ribosomal RNA", at positions 111 to 823 of the family's 1533-position model. The record is from RNAcentral.